This 490-nucleotide ribosomal RNA is filed under the name uncultured bacterium. RNAcentral's name for it is "partial 16S ribosomal RNA". It matches the Rfam family "Bacterial small subunit ribosomal RNA", at positions 30 to 507 of the family's 1533-position model. The record is from RNAcentral.
AUUGAACGCUGGCGGCAGGCCUAACACAUGCAAGUCGAACGGUAACAGGAAGCAGCUUGCUGCUUCGCUGACGAGUGGCGGACGGGUGAGUAAUGUCUGGGAAGCUGCCUGAUGGAGGGGGAUAACUACUGGAAACGGUAGCUAAUACCGCAUAAUGUCGCAAGACCAAAGAGGGGGACCUUCGGGCCUCUUGCCAUCGGAUGUGCCCAGAUGGGAUUAGCUUGUUGGUGGGGUAACGGCUCACCAAGGCGACGAUCCCUAGCUGGUCUGAGAGGGUGACCAGCCACACUGGGACUGAGACACGGUCCAGACUCCUACGGGAGGCAGCAGUGGGGAAUAUUGCACAAUGGGCGCAAGCCUGAUGCAGCCAUGCCGCGUGUAUGAAGAAGGCCUUCGGGUUGUAAAGUACUUUCAGCGGGGAGGAAGGGAGUAAAGUUAAUACCUUUGCUCAUUGACGUUACCCGCAGAAGAAGCACCGGCUAACUCCGUG